AUUGAACGCUGGCGGCAUGCUUUACACAUGCAAGUCGAACGGUAGAGGGGCAACCCUUGAGAGUGGCGAACGGGUGAGUAAAGUAUCGGAACGUGCCCUGAAGUGGGGGAUAACGUAGCGAAAGUUACGCUAAUACCGCAUGAGAUCUGAGGAUGAAAGCGGGGGACCUGAGAGGGCCUCGCGCUUUAGGAGCGGCCGAUAUCUGAUUAGCUAGUUGGUGGGGUAAGGGCUUACCAAGGCGAUGAUCAGUAGCUGGUCUGAGAGGACGGCCGGCCACACUGGGACUGAGACACGGCCCAGACUCCUACGGGAGGCAGCAGUGGGGAAUUUUGGACAAUGGGGGCAACCCUGAUCCAGCAAUGCCGCGUGAGUGAAGAAGGCCUUCGGGUUGUAAAGCUCUUUUGUCAGGGAAGAAAAGGUAGGUGCUAAUAACGCCUGCUGAUGACGGUACCUGGAGAAUAAGCACCGGCUAACUACGUGCCAGCAGCCGCCGUAA
Molecule: ribosomal RNA, 496 nt
Filed under: uncultured bacterium
Lineage: Bacteria
Description: partial 16S ribosomal RNA
Rfam family: Bacterial small subunit ribosomal RNA
Source: RNAcentral